Molecule: ribosomal RNA, 572 nt
Filed under: Rheocricotopus sp. NT14.1.A1
Lineage: Eukaryota; Metazoa; Arthropoda; Insecta; Diptera; Chironomidae
Description: eukaryotic LSU rRNA
Rfam family: Eukaryotic large subunit ribosomal RNA
Source: RNAcentral
AGAUUCAAUAUUGAAGCAAUUCAAUGUGCACUUCUCGCUUAGUAAGACGCUGUGAUCCAUUAGAAAUUGAUCGUUCCAACGAUUGUUUGGCUAUCAAUAGGCCGACGUAAAGUUCAUCAAAGAAAUGAUUCGAUCCUUUAUGGUUGGGUGUAUUGUUUGGUGAGUGCGUCGUGUUCUGUGUAGCUGUCUGAUGGAUUUUAAUGGUCAUAUCAUUGAUGUCGGCAUCACUCAGGAUAUGUGCCCGAUCAACAGUGGUUAAAUUUGGGAUACCUUUUGGACCCGUCUUGAAACACGGACCAAGGAGUCUAUCUAGUAUGCGAGUAAAUGAGUAUAUGAAACUUAUUUGCGUAAAAAACUUGACUGUUAUGGGAUUACGAGUUUUACCGGUCGUUCCUCCAUCCCGGGGUAUUUCUAUCAACAUAUGCAGCAAUGUAUAUGGGAAAUAUACCAUGAGCAUACUGGAUAUGACCCGAAAGAUGGUGAACUAUGCUUGAUCAGGUUGAAGUCAGGGGAAACCCUGAUGGAGGACCGAAGCAGUUCUGACGUGCAAAUCGAUUGUCAGAAUUGAGCAU